CGAAGGGGGCUAGCGUUGCUCGGAAUUACUGGGCGUAAAGGGGGCGUAGGCGGACAUUUAAGUCAGAGGUGAAAUCCCGGAGCUUAACUUCGGAACUGCCUUUGAUACUGGGUGUCUUGAGUGUGAGAGAGGUAUGUGGAACUCCGAGUGUAGAGGUGAAAUUCGUAGAUAUUCGGAAGAACACCAGUGGCGAAGGCGACAUACUGGCUCAUUACUGACGCUGAGGCUCGAAAGCGUGGGGAGCAAACAGGAUUAGAUACCCUGGUAGUCCACGCCGUAAACGAUGAUUGCUAGUUGUCGGGAAGCUUGCUUCUCGGUGACGCAGCUAACGCAUUAAGCAAUCCGCCUGGGGAGUACGGUCGCAAGAUUAA
Molecule: ribosomal RNA, 371 nt
Filed under: uncultured organism
Description: bacterial SSU rRNA
Rfam family: Bacterial small subunit ribosomal RNA
Source: RNAcentral